RNAcentral lists this ribosomal RNA (445 nucleotides) under uncultured bacterium. RNAcentral describes it as "partial 16S ribosomal RNA". It matches the Rfam family "Bacterial small subunit ribosomal RNA", at positions 354 to 796 of the family's 1533-position model. The record is from RNAcentral.
GUGAGGAAUAUUGGUCAAUGGACGCGAGUCUGAACCAGCCAAGUAGCGUGAAGGAUGACUGCCCUAUGGGUUGUAAACUUCUUUUAUAAGGGAAUAAAGUGAGGGACGUGUCCCUUUUUGUAUGUACCUUAUGAAUAAGGAUCGGCUAACUCCGUGCCAGCAGCCGCGGUAAUACGGAGGAUCCGAGCGUUAUCCGGAUUUAUUGGGUUUAAAGGGAGCGUAGGUUGACGUAUAAGUCAGCUGUGAAAGUUUACGGCUCAACCGUGAAAUUGCAGUUGAUACUGUAUGUCUUGAGUGUACAAGAGGUGGGCGGAAUUCGUGGUGUAGCGGUGAAAUGCUUAGAUAUCACGAAGAACUCCAAUUGCGAAGGCAGCUCACUGGGGUACAACUGACACUGAGGCUCGAAAGUGUGGGUAUCAAACAGGAUUAGAAACCCGGGUAGUCC